CUGGUUGAUCCUGCCAGUAACAUAUGCUUGUUUAAAAGAUUAAGCCAUGCAUGUCUAAGUAUAAACAUCUUUAUACAGUGAAACUGCGUACAGCUCAUUAUAUCAGUAAUUAUUUAUUUGAAGGUGACUCACUACAUGGAUAACUGUAGUAAUUCUAGAGCUAAUACAUGCGUCAAGUUCCGACUUUCGGGAAGGAAUGUAUUUAUUAGAUACAAAAUCAAUGCAGGUUCUGCCUGGUUCAUUGGUGAUUCAUAGUAACUGUUCGAAUCGUAUGGCCUUGUGCUGACGAUAGUUCAUUCAAAUUUCUGCCCUAUCAGCUUUCGACGGUAGUGUCGUGGACUACCGUGGCAUCAACGGGUAACGGAGAAUUAGGGUUCGAUUCCGGAGAAGGAGCCUGAGAAACGGCUACUACAUCCAAGGAAGGCAGCAGGCGCGCAAAUUACCCAAUACUGACACAGUGAGGUAGUGACAAAAAAUAACAAUGCCGGGCAUUUAUGUCUGGCAAUUGGAAUGAGUACAAUUUAAAUAUCUUAACGAGAAUCCAUUGGAGGGCAAGUCUGGU
This 562-nucleotide ribosomal RNA is filed under the name uncultured Cercozoa. Its description in RNAcentral is "bacterial SSU rRNA". It matches the Rfam family "Eukaryotic small subunit ribosomal RNA", at positions 4 to 565 of the family's 1831-position model. Lineage: Eukaryota; Cercozoa. The record is from RNAcentral.